RNAcentral lists this ribosomal RNA (496 nucleotides) under uncultured bacterium. RNAcentral's name for it is "partial 16S ribosomal RNA". It matches the Rfam family "Bacterial small subunit ribosomal RNA", at positions 28 to 506 of the family's 1533-position model. The record is from RNAcentral.
GAUGAACGCUGGCGGCGUGCCUAAUACAUGCAAGUCGAGCGAACAGAUGAGGAGCUUGCUCCUCUGACGUUAGCGGCGGACGGGUGAGUAACACGUGGAUAACCUACCUAUAAGACUGGGAUAACUUCGGGAAACCGGAGCUAAUACCGGAUAAUAUAUUGAACCGCAUGGUUCAAUAGUGAAAGACGGUUUUGCUGUCACUUAUAGAUGGAUCCGCGCCGCAUUAGCUAGUUGGUAAGGUAACGGCUUACCAAGGCAACGAUGCGUAGCCGACCUGAGAGGGUGAUCGGCCACCCUGGAACUGAGACACGGUCCAGACUCCUACGGGAGGCAGCAGUAGGGAAUCUUCCGCAAUGGGCGAAAGCCUGACGGAGCAACGCCGCGUGAGUGAUGAAGGUCUUCGGUUCGUAAAACUCUGUUAUUAGGGAAGAACAAAUGUGUAAGUAACUAUGCACGUCUUGACGGUACCUAAUCAGAAAGCCACGGCUAACUACGU